This 345-nucleotide ribosomal RNA is filed under the name uncultured bacterium. RNAcentral's name for it is "bacterial SSU rRNA". It matches the Rfam family "Bacterial small subunit ribosomal RNA", at positions 373 to 710 of the family's 1533-position model. The record is from RNAcentral.
GGGGGCAACCCUGACGGAGCGACGCCGCGUGAGUGAAGAAGGUUUUCGGAUCGUAAAGCUCUGUUGUAAGUCAAGAGCGAGUGUGAGAGUGGAAAGUUCACACUGUGACGGUAGCUUACCAGAAAGGGACGGCCAACUACGUGCCAGCAGCCGCGGUAAUACGUAGGUCCCGAGCGUUGUCCGGAUUUAUUGGGCGUAAAGCGAGCGCAGGCGGUUUGAUAAGUCUGAAGUUAAAGGCUGUGGCUCAACCAUAGUUCGCUUUGGAAACUGUCAAACUUGAGUGCAGAAGGGGAGAGUGGAAUUCCAUGUGUAGCGGUGAAAUGCGUAGAUAUAUGGAGGAACACC